GAUAAUAGUUUUGCACUCUUUAUAUCCAACAUUAGAUCGUCUAUUUUAUUUAAAAAAUUUUAUGGUUAGCAUUUUUAUUGUUAUUAGAUGAUGAAACGGACGAUCAAACGUUGGAUAUGGAAACUACAACUGCACUUAAA
Molecule: microRNA precursor, 140 nt
Filed under: Oryza barthii
Lineage: Eukaryota; Viridiplantae; Streptophyta; Magnoliopsida; Poales; Poaceae
Description: MIR812 microRNA precursor family
Rfam family: MIR812 microRNA precursor family
Source: Rfam by way of RNAcentral